RNAcentral lists this long non-coding RNA (212 nucleotides) under Brassica napus (rape). RNAcentral's name for it is "long non-coding RNA (BNAP_LNC007941)". Lineage: Eukaryota; Viridiplantae; Streptophyta; Magnoliopsida; Brassicales; Brassicaceae. The record is from RNAcentral.
GCGAAGCUAGGACUUUUGUAUAGUGGGUGCACUAUUAAUUACAAAAGAAAGGAAGAUAUAAGAAGAGAUUGAACCUGGGUUGUAAGGGGGUGCAGAACCUAUGUUUUACCAUCAGAUCUACCAAAUCUAUAUUAUUUUUUCUCACUAAAUUUGAAAGAUAGAUAUUAUUACGGGUGCACAUGCACCCAUAGAGUAUAAGGUGGCUUCGCCCC